ACAGGACUAUCCUUCAUCAGUAAACAUACUUUGAACCCAGUAUCUCCAGAGACCCUAACCCCUCAUCGAUUCUCACCAAAUCAAAUUCCCUCCCCAAAUCAUUUCCAUCACCCUAGUUAACGUCCUCCGCCUUGGACAUACAUCAGCCCCUCCACUCGAACAUCGCUAUUUAGGGUUAACAUCCACCAGAUCCAUUCAAUUGAAGCAGAGGUACAGAUCUUCAUAAUAACCACAGAUCGAUUCCCGUACAGCCGAUUUUUAGUAUUCAUCUCCAUCUCCGUUGAUUAAGGAUCGAUUCUCAGUUGAAGGAGAGGUAGUUGUUUGCCCUAUCACCACAACCGCUAUAAUAAUCCUCCUAAUUACCUCAUAUUUUGUUUAAUCUCGUGAUCUGCUCUGCGUUUUGUCGAUUUCUUCGUUCGGUCUGCUCUCUUGCAGUUGGUUCUUCGGUUUGGACAACCUCAAUUCGGAUUUUGGAGCCCUAGAUGUCCCCUGGUUUUGAUUACUGUUACGCUAGAAUGUUUUUGUUGAUAUGCCCUGUUAUGAUUAAGAUAUAGUUAGUAUUU
RNAcentral lists this long non-coding RNA (563 nucleotides) under Helianthus annuus (common sunflower). RNAcentral describes it as "hypothetical non coding rna". The record is from RNAcentral. Lineage: Eukaryota; Viridiplantae; Streptophyta; Magnoliopsida; Asterales; Asteraceae.